UGAAAGUCUGUUUCCCGUACGACCCCCGAAGUUAAGCAACGUCGAGUUUUGUUAGUACCUAAAUGGGCGACCGCUUGGGAAUUCUUGGGGCGGC
Acanthosepion pharaonis is the source of this 94-nucleotide non-coding RNA. The record is from the annotation of a GenBank genome assembly. NCBI's taxonomy places the organism in Eukaryota, Metazoa, Mollusca, Cephalopoda, Sepiida, Sepiidae.